RNAcentral lists this ribosomal RNA (497 nucleotides) under uncultured bacterium. Its description in RNAcentral is "partial 16S ribosomal RNA". It matches the Rfam family "Bacterial small subunit ribosomal RNA", at positions 28 to 507 of the family's 1533-position model. The record is from RNAcentral.
GAUGAACGCUGGCGGCGUGCCUAAUACAUGCAAGUCGAGCGAACAGACGAUGAGCUUGCUCCUCUGACGUUAGCGGCGGACGGGUGAGUAACACGUGGAUAACCUACCUAUAAGACUGGGAUAACUUCGGGAAACCGGAGCUAAUACCGGAUCAUAUAUUGAACCGCAUGGUUCAAUAGUGAAAGACGGUUUUGCUGUCACUUAUAGAUGGAUCCGCGCCGCAUUAGCUAGUUGGUAAGGUAACGGCUUACCAAGGCAACGAUGCGUAGCCGACCUGAGAGGGUGAUCGGCCACACUGGAACUGAGACACGGUCCAGACUCCUACGGGAGGCAGCAGUAGGGAAUCUUCCGCAAUGGGCGAAAGCCUGACGGAGCAACGCCGCGUGAGUGAUGAAGGUCUUCGGAUCGUAAAACUCUGUUAUUAGGGAAGAACAAAUGUGUAAGUAACUAUGCACGUCUUGACGGUACCUAAUCAGAAAGCCACGGCUAACUACGUG